CCUACGGGAUGCUGCAGUGGGGAAUAUUGCACAAUGGGGGAAACCCUGAUGCAGCGACGCCGCGUGAGUGAAGAAGUAAUUCGUUAUGUAAAGCUCUAUCAGCAGGGAAGAAAAUGACGGUACCUGAGUCAGAAGCCCCGGCUAACUACGUGCCAGCAGCCGCGGUAAUACGUAGGGGGCAAGCGUUAUCCGGGUUUACUGGGGGUAAAGGGAGCGUAGACGGCAGUGCAAGUCUGGAGUGAAAGGCGGGGGUUCAACCCCCGGACUGCUCUGGAAACUGGGAAGCUGGAGUGCAGGAGAGGUAAGCGGAAUUCCUGGUGUAGCGGUGAAAGGCGUAGAGAUCAGGAGGAACACCGGCGGCGAAGGCGGCUUACUGGACUGUAACUGACGUUGAGGCUCGAAGGCGUGGGGAGCAAACAGGAUUAGAUACCCGGGUAGUC
Molecule: ribosomal RNA, 440 nt
Filed under: uncultured bacterium
Lineage: Bacteria
Description: partial 16S ribosomal RNA
Rfam family: Bacterial small subunit ribosomal RNA
Source: RNAcentral